RNAcentral lists this ribosomal RNA (486 nucleotides) under uncultured bacterium. RNAcentral describes it as "partial 16S ribosomal RNA". It matches the Rfam family "Bacterial small subunit ribosomal RNA", at positions 30 to 507 of the family's 1533-position model. The record is from RNAcentral.
AUUGAACGCUGGCGACAUGCCUUACACAUGCAAGUCGAACGGCAGCACGGGUGCUUGCACCUGGUGGCGAGUGGCGAACGGGUGAGUAAUACAUCGGAACAUGUCCUGUAGUGGGGGAUAGCCCGUCGAAAGCCGGAUUAAUACCGCAUACGAUCUACGGAUGAAAGCGGGGGCCCUUCGGGCCUCGCGCUUUAGGGUUGGCCGAUGGCUGAUUAGCUAGUUGGUGGGGUAAAGGCCUACCAAGGCGACGAUCAGUAGCUGGUCUGAGAGGACGACCAGCCACACUGGGACUGAGACACGGCCCAGACUCCUACGGGAGGCAGCAGUGGGGAAUUUUGGACAAUGGGCGAAAGCCUGAUCCAGCAAUGCCGCGUGUGUGAAGAAGGCCUUCGGGUUGUAAAGCACUUUUGUCCGGAAAGAAAUCCUUGGCCCUAAUACGGUCGGGGGAUGACGGUACCGGAAGAAUAAGCACCGGCUAACUACGUG